RNAcentral lists this transfer RNA (72 nucleotides) under Phlebiopsis gigantea 11061_1 CR5-6. RNAcentral describes it as "tRNA-Pro (TGG) (tRNA-Pro-TGG-2-1)". It matches the Rfam family "tRNA". Rfam says of the family: Transfer RNA (tRNA) molecules are approximately 80 nucleotides in length. Their secondary structure includes four short double-helical elements and three loops (D, anti-codon, and T loops). The record is from RNAcentral. Lineage: Eukaryota; Fungi; Basidiomycota; Agaricomycetes; Polyporales; Phanerochaetaceae.
GGCCCAAUGGUCUAGUGGCAAGAUACUUGCUUUGGGUGCAAGGGAUCCCGGGUUCGAAUCCCGGUUGGGCCC